CCUACGGGAGGCUGCAGUGAGGAAUAUUGGUCAAUGGACGAGAGUCUGAACCAGCCAAGUAGCGUGAAGGAUGACUGCCCUAUGGGUUGUAAACUUCUUUUAUAUGGGAAUAAAAUGUUCCACGUGUGGGAUUUUGUACGUACCAUAUGAAUAAGGAUCGGCUAACUCCGUUCCAGCAGCCGCGGUAAUACGGAGUAUCCGAGCGUUAUCCGGAUUUAUUGGGUUUAAAGGGAACGUAGGUGGAUUGUUAAGUCAGUUGUGAAAGUUUGCGGCUCAACCGUAAAAUUGCAGUUGAAACUGGCAGUCAUAAGUACAGGAGAGGUGGGCGGAAUUCGUGGUGUAGCGGUGAAAUGCUUAGAUAUCACGAAGAACUCCGAUUGCGAAGGCAGUUCACUGGACUGCAACUGACACUGAGGCUCGAAAGUGUGGGUAUCAAACAGGAUUAGAUACCCGUGUAGUC
Molecule: ribosomal RNA, 460 nt
Filed under: uncultured bacterium
Lineage: Bacteria
Description: partial 16S ribosomal RNA
Rfam family: Bacterial small subunit ribosomal RNA
Source: RNAcentral